Molecule: long non-coding RNA, 568 nt
Organism: Capra hircus (goat)
Lineage: Eukaryota; Metazoa; Chordata; Mammalia; Artiodactyla; Bovidae
Exons: 3
Source: RefSeq, a predicted model, not a curated record
UCCCCUCCCCUGGGCGUUUGCGGUCGGUGGGUACCCCGUCUUUGAGUCUCCGUCGCCUUGGGACCUUGUCCCGUGUCCGGCCACUGGCGCCGCGCCCACGUUCCCUCCAGUGAGAUGUUUACAGUGCUUUCAGGGUCAUUUCUAGGAGGCAGCUAUGAGAGCAAAGUGGUGUCGAGACCAUAUGGAUGGUGUGUGUGACUGAGGCUCCAUUAAGGCCUCUCAAAAUGCUUAAGAUUCUGGGAGAUGGAUGUGGAGAUCUACCCACCUUGUAGCUGCCCAAGACAAGCCUCACAUCUGGGACAUCUGUAUUCUCCUGUGUUCAGAUUUGGACUGUGUCGACUGAAAAGAUGCUCAACUUGAGAGCUGUGAGUUAAGUUUUAUUGGGGGCAAAACGGGGACUGCAGCCUGGGAGGCAGCACCUCAGGUAGCUCUGAGAGACUGCACCAAAGAGGCAGUCGGGAAGGUCAAUACACAAGAUUUUGGUGAAGAGGAAGUUCAGUAUAAUUAUUUCAGUUCAGUUCGGUCACUCAAUCAUGUCCAACUCUCUGCAACCCUAUGGACUGCAGCA